Molecule: ribosomal RNA, 253 nt
Filed under: Actinosynnema sp.
Lineage: Bacteria; Bacillati; Actinomycetota; Actinomycetes; Pseudonocardiales; Pseudonocardiaceae
Also listed under: 1 other name
Description: partial 16S ribosomal RNA
Rfam family: Bacterial small subunit ribosomal RNA
Source: RNAcentral
UACGUAGGGGGCAAGCGUUGUCCGGAUUUAUUGGGCGUAAAGAGCUCGUAGGCGGUUUGUUGCGUCGGCCGUGAAAACUUGGGGCUUAACCCCGAGCUUGCGGUCGAUACGGGCAGACUUGAGUUCGGCAGGGGAGACUGGAAUUCCUGGUGUAGCGGUGAAAUGCGCAGAUAUCAGGAGGAACACCGGUGGCGAAGGCGGGUCUCUGGGCCGAUACUGACGCUGAGGAGCGAAAGCGUGGGGAGCGAACAGG